RNAcentral lists this ribosomal RNA (776 nucleotides) under uncultured Neocallimastigales. RNAcentral describes it as "partial large subunit ribosomal RNA". It matches the Rfam family "Eukaryotic large subunit ribosomal RNA", at positions 24 to 616 of the family's 3401-position model. Lineage: Eukaryota; Fungi; Neocallimastigomycota; Neocallimastigomycetes; Neocallimastigales. The record is from RNAcentral.
UACGACUACAUAUCAGGCAUAUCAAUAAGCGGAGGAAAAGAAACUAACUAGGAUUCCCUUAGUAACAGGCGAGUGAAGCGGGAAGAGCUCAAAUUUGAAAUCUUCAAGGUUUUACCUUGACGAAUUGUAGUUUAAAGAAGUGUUUUCUGUUGGAGUUUUGGUAAAAGUUCUUUGGAAUAGGACAUCAUAGAGGGUGAGAAUCCCGUAUUUGACCAUUAUUUCCAGCUUUGUGAUACACUUUCAAAGAGUCGGAUUGUUUGGGAAUGCAGUCCAAAAUGGGUGGUAAAUUUCAUCUAAAGCUAAAUAUUGGCGAGAGACCGAUAGUGAACAAGUACCGUGAGGGAAAGAUGAAAAGAACUUUGAAAAGAGAGUUAAACAGUACGUGAAAUUGUCAAAAGGGAAGCGUUUGACACCAGUGUUGUUUUCUCGAAAAUCAAUUAAAAAAAGUUGGAUUUUGUGUUGUAUUGACCUUAACAGCUUGCUUCACUCUUUUCCAGCUUUUUUUAAUGCACUUUUCGUUUAACAAGUCAACAUCAGUUUCUUUUGUUGUAAAAGGGUCAUUGGAAGGUGGCUUUCUCUUCGGAGAAGGUGUUUAUAGCCUUUGAUCUCUGCAAUCGGAGAGACUGAGGUCUGCAGCGUAGAUCCUUCGGGGUUAGAUACAUUUGUGCUAAGCUACUAGCUUUUCAUAGACAACUUGUUGACUAUGAUCAGUCAUGUAGCUUACUCGCUUAUGCUAUUUUACCUACGCUUAGGAUGUUGAGCGCAUGUCUCUCUCU